This 440-nucleotide ribosomal RNA is filed under the name uncultured bacterium. RNAcentral describes it as "partial 16S ribosomal RNA". It matches the Rfam family "Bacterial small subunit ribosomal RNA", at positions 338 to 795 of the family's 1533-position model. The record is from RNAcentral.
CCUACGGGAGGCAGCAGUAGGGAAUAUUGCUCAAUGGGGGAAACCCUGAAGCAGCAACGCCGCGUGGAGGAUGAAGGUUUUCGGAGUGUAAACUCCUUUUUGUAGAGAAGAUAAGGACGUUAUCUAACGAAUAAGCACCGGCCAACUCCGUGCCAGCAGCCGCUGGAAUCCGGAGGGCGCAAGCGGUACUCGGAAUGACUGGGGGUAAAUGGCGCGUAGGCGGGAUAGUAAGUCAGGUGUGAAAUUCUAUGGCCUAACCCUAGAACUGCAUUUGAAACUGUUACUCUAGAGUAUGAGAGAGGUAGGUGGAAUUCUUGGUGUAGGGGUGAAAUGCGUAGAUAUCAAGCGGAACACUCAUUGCGAAGGCGACCUGCUAGCACCUAACUGACGCUGAUGCGCGAAAGCGUGGGGAGCAAACAGGAUUAGAUACCCGAGUAGUC